GGGCACGUAGCUCAGUCCGGAUAGAGCGUCGGACUUCUAUCCGUGUCGCGCCAGCGCCACGGGAAGCCAUCCGACGGUCGCGGGUUCGAAUCCCGCCGUGCCCG
RNAcentral lists this transfer RNA (104 nucleotides) under Halococcus hamelinensis 100A6. It matches the Rfam family "tRNA". Rfam says of the family: Transfer RNA (tRNA) molecules are approximately 80 nucleotides in length. Their secondary structure includes four short double-helical elements and three loops (D, anti-codon, and T loops). The record is from Rfam by way of RNAcentral. Lineage: Archaea; Methanobacteriati; Methanobacteriota; Halobacteria; Halobacteriales; Halococcaceae.